ACACACACACAUACACGCACACCAAAUAUCAUUUUAAACAUAAUGUAAGUUCAUAAUUGUGUGUGUGUGUGUGUGUGUGU
This is a non-coding RNA of Podarcis lilfordi (Lilford's wall lizard), 80 nucleotides long. The record is from the annotation of a GenBank genome assembly. Lineage: Eukaryota; Metazoa; Chordata; Lepidosauria; Squamata; Lacertidae.